RNAcentral lists this transfer RNA (66 nucleotides) under Proagoderus bicallossus. RNAcentral describes it as "tRNA-His". RNAcentral also lists the same sequence under 1 other name. The record is from RNAcentral. Lineage: Eukaryota; Metazoa; Arthropoda; Insecta; Coleoptera; Scarabaeidae.
AUUUAGGUAGUUUAUAAUAAAAUAUUGAUUUGUGGUAUCAAAGUUAUACAUUAUGUAUCUUAAAUA